This is a long non-coding RNA of Diorhabda sublineata, 3415 nucleotides long. RefSeq lists it as uncharacterized. The record is from RefSeq and is a predicted model, not a curated record. NCBI's taxonomy places the organism in Eukaryota, Metazoa, Arthropoda, Insecta, Coleoptera, Chrysomelidae. The transcript has 6 exons.
UUAUACAUUGUCAAGUGGUCUGUGUUGAUUUUGGCGUUCAGCUAUAUAAAUAAUAAUAAAAUGGCCACAGAAUCGGAUUCUUCCGUUUCCUCUGACGAAAUAGACUGGUUAGGGGAAAAUUGUGGAGUUUAUGAAGAUAUAGUGGAUUGUUUAAUUGAAACUACAGAUGAAAAGCCGCAAUCACCCGUGGUGUGUGUUGACACGGACAAUGACAAUAAUAAUCACAUUGCUGAGAAUUAUUUGACAAAUGAAGCAGAAUCCCCUCCAAAAAAUAAACGGUCUGCUGAAGAUGAAAAGACAGUGGCACAAAAAAAAGGAAAAAGAGAGGUUUCGUACAACAAGUUUUGGGAAACCAAGUACUCUGUCAUAAAAGGAAAUUCAAAACACAUGGCAAAAUGCAUAUUGUGCGAGUGUCAGAAAUAUUAAAAAAACCGCAAAUGCACAAACAAUCAAAACUAUUUUUUCCAGCAAGUAGAAAGUUCAAAGUAAAUUACAAAUUGCUGAAUGCAGAUUGAUUUAUCAUUCAGUGCAACAAUCACACAGUUAUUUGUCAGUAGACUGCUUGGUAAAAAUACUCUCAAAACUUCUUCCUAAUUCACAGACGGCUCAAGGAAUCACACUCAGUAGAACGAAAGGGACAAAAAUUGUCACUAAUGUAUUGGCUCCCUAUACACAGAGGAAAAUAUUAGAAGAUUUGCAAGGUCAUCGCCCAUUCUCAAUGUCAAGUGAUGCAUCCGAUCAUGGGAACAUAAAAACAUUUCCUCUGGUACUAAGGUACUUUAAAAAAGAGGAGAGAAUUAAAACAAUGCUUUUAAAUUUCUACUCGUCCCCAUCAGGAAAAUCUAAGGAUAUUUCUUUUGGCAUAGUUACAAAUUUAGAGAAAGCUGGAUUAACAAUUGCAGAUGUAACUGCCUAUUGGGCUAAUAAUGCGUCAGUGAAUUUUGAAAAACCAAAGGGUUUUUACAGAAAUUAAGAAAUUGAAUGACAGCAUAAUACCAAUUGGUUGUGUAUGCCAUAUAGUCCACAAUUCUCGUAAAAACGGCCACAAAGCCUUAAGAUACGAUAUUGAACUGAUUGUGAUUAAAUGCUACAAUGGAUUUUCAAGCAGCACGAAAAAAACUGAGGAACUCAAAGAUUUUUUUGAAUUUUGCGUUUUUGAGUGGAGUGAAUUGUUUCUGUGCCAACCAAAUGGCUUAGUCUUAUACCAGCAGCAGAAAGGCUUCUAAAGAAGUUUCAACCAGUAAAAUAUCAUUUUUGUCAAUGGAGUCCCCACCAGCCAUUUUACAAAAUUUUUUUCCAGAUGAAUUUGCUGAGGCAUAUUUGGGAUUCUUAGUAAAUGUUGGUCCCACAUUGCAAAUCACCAUUCAAAAAUUACAAUCAGAUAAAGCUACAAUACUAGAACUUCAUGAAACAAUGAUCUUUUUAAGAAAAAGUCUACAAACUAAACUCUAUCAAGAAUUUUAUGGAGCCAUAGCAAGAAAUUAAUACUAAAAUCUGAGAAUAGUGAUACAAUUGUACAGUUCAAGAGACAGGCAAAUGUUUUCUUGGAAAGGACAAUAUCUUAUUUGGAAAAAUGGUACCAAUACAACAACAAUAGAUUUGAAAAUCUAUCUUGCAUGAUUUUAAAGAAAUCACAAAUCUUGUCUGUAGAAAAAUCUAUUAAAAUAUCUUCAGAUUUUAAAAUAGACAUAGAUGAAGACAUGCUCUUUGAAGAAUUUAUCAGACUGAAAUAUUUUAUUGAAAAUAAUUUAAAUGAAGAGGAAGAUAUAAGUCAAAGAUGGAUGGCAUUUUUUAAAAACAAUUUCCCGGCAAAUUUUUAAAAAAUAUGUAAUACAUUUUUAUCAAUUCCACAUUCAAAUGCCUUUCCUGAAAGAAUGCUUAGUCUAAUGAAUGCCGCUUGGAGAAAGGAAAGAAAUAAAUUAGAUAUUAAGACUUUGGAGGCGGAGCUUAUAGUUAAAACUAAUUUUAAAAUGAACUGCAAAGAAUUUUUGCUAUUUCUGAAAAGUGGGGAUGUGGGCGCAGAUGAUAUAUUGAAAAAGGUAUCAUCAUGUCAAAAAUAUGAAAAUUAAUUGAAUGGUGCUAAAGCUAAAUAAUGUCUGUUGUGGUGUUAUGUCACGCUUAUGUUGUAUUUUAUAUCGUACUUUGCGUUAAUUUUGUGUGAGAAAUACGGAGACAUUUAAGUACAUAUUUUUGUAGGUUUUUGGUUCUAAUGAAAUUGAUAUUUUUCAGUUAGGUGGUCAUUUUUUAAAAUCUACUUCAAAGAUAUCUUUGCAGUGCUUGGAAAGUUUGUUAAAUACAAUUAUUGUGUAAAUUGGUAUAGGCGCGCACAAAAUUACAACUCGAAUAGCUCUCGUAUGACAACACGUUCUGAGUACAUUUAGCAUUAAAAUCGUCAAACUUUAUGAUGGCAAUGUCAAAUUUGACAUAUUCACAUCACACCUCAAAACUUAACAACCCACUUAAAUAGUAAUAAGUCCUUGUGCAUAAAAAAAUAUGUGAUAUACAAAUUCUUCAACAAGAAAAUAUAGAAAUACUCAAUAAUUUUGUUUAAUUAUGCAUUUCAACAAAAAAUUAUUUUUUAGUAUUGUACCGCCAUCUGACAAACGUUUUCCUCAUCCACCACUAUAAAUAAAAAAAAUUAUAAUCUUUGAAACCCCCGGAGUAAUGGAGUAUAGAAAAAAAUAGAUAUGUUUUAACUGGUAAAUUCAAUCAGUCUCGUAUUCGUAACUUUACACAAGCAAUCGUAACUAUGGAGUGUAGAGAAGGAGGAACAUCUAUUAUGGACGGUACGUUUAAAAUAUGGUCUGAAUUCUGUAGGGAUAAUACGUGGCGCUGAUUGUUCUAUGGGAUUGAGAUCUGAAGUUAAACACUUACUGUAUAAGAAAUUAUCAAAGUUGUAACUGACGUUUGAUUAUAUUCAUGUGAAAAGCUGUGCAAUCCUUAAUAUCUUAUUAGAUUUUUAUUUUUUUUUUAAGAACUUGAUAUAUUUCUGUACCUGCUUGCAUAAGCGAAUUACCAAUGAUAUUUUAACAAAACUAUAAUUAUUAUAUUUGUUGCGUAUAGAGUUCAAUAUUUUAUUUCUAUGAACCAAAGUGUUUUAUUUUCAAUUAUUUUAUUAUUCUUAUUGAUAUUUUUAUAUGACUAACUAUUAUAUUAGUUGCUAAUAAAGUUCAAUAUUUUAUUUUUAUGAACCGAAAUAUUUUUUUUAUUAUUCUAUUAUUUUUAUUGAUCUAAUUAUAUCGCUAUAAUUAUUAUAUUAGUUACGGAUAAAAUUCAAUAUUUUAUUUUAAUCAACCAAAAUGUUUUUUUUUAUACUAUUUCAUUAUUGUUACAUGAUACUACUUUUUUUCAUAUUAGAAUAUAUGUAUUAUCUUAACCAAAUAAAUAGCUAAAUAAUAAAGUUAAUUUAACGAGA